Molecule: ribosomal RNA, 116 nt
Filed under: Bacillus subtilis
Lineage: Bacteria; Bacillati; Bacillota; Bacilli; Caryophanales; Bacillaceae
Also listed under: 3 other names
Source: RNAcentral
UCUGGUGAUGAUGGCGAAGAGGUCACACCCGUUUCCAUACCGAACACGGAAGUUAAGCUCUUCAGCGCCGAUGGUAGUCGGGGGUUUCCCCCUGUGAGAGUAGGACAUCGCCAGGC